UACGGAGGGUGCGAGCGUUAUCCGGAUUUACUGGGUUUAAAGGGUGUGUAGGCGGGUUUGUAAGUCAGAGGUGAAAUCCCGGAGCUCAACUCCGGAACUGCCUUUGAUACUAUAGAUCUUGAAUAUUGUUGAGGUGGGCGGAAUGUGUCAUGUAGCGGUGAAAUGCAUAGAUAUGACACAGAACACCGAUUGCGAAGGCAGCUCACUGGGCAAUGAUUGACGCUGAGGCACGAAAGCGUGGGGAUCAAACAGG
RNAcentral lists this ribosomal RNA (253 nucleotides) under uncultured bacterium. Its description in RNAcentral is "partial 16S ribosomal RNA". It matches the Rfam family "Bacterial small subunit ribosomal RNA", at positions 524 to 776 of the family's 1533-position model. The record is from RNAcentral.